AGAGUUUGAUCCUGGCUCAGGAUGAACGCUAGCGGCAGGCUUAACACAUGCAAGUCGAGGGGCAGCGGGGAGGAAGCUUGCUUUCUCCGCCGGCGACCGGCGCACGGGUGAGUAACACGUAUGCAACCUGCCCCUGUCAGGGGGACAACCCGCCGAAAGGCGGGCUAAACCCGCGUACAUGCCACCGGGGCAUCCCGGAGGCAGGAAAGGCUUCGGCCGGACAGGGAUGGGCAUGCGGCGCAUUAGGCAGUAGGCGGGGUAACGGCCCACCUAACCGACGAUGCGUAGGGGUUCUGAGAGGAAGGUCCCCCACACUGGUACUGAGACACGGACCAGACUCCUACGGGAGGCAGCAGUGAGGAAUAUUGGUCAAUGGUCGGGAGACUGAACCAGCCAAGCCGCGUGAGGGAGGAAGGUACAGAGUAUCGUAAACCUCUUUUGUCAGGGAACAAAGGCGGGGACGUGUCCCCGGAUGAGUGUACCUGAAGAAAAAGCAUCGGCUAACUCCGUGCCAGCAGCCGCGGUAAUACGGAGGAUGCGAGCGUUAUCCGGAUUUAUUGGGUUUAAAGGGUGCGCAGGCGGUCUGUUAAGUCAGCGGUCAAAGCCCGGGGCUCAACCCCGGCCCGCCGUUGAAACUGGCAGUCUCGAGUUGGAGAGAAGUAUGCGGAAUGCGCGGUGUAGCGGUGAAAUGCAUAGAUAUCGCGCAGAACUCCGAUUGCGAAGGCAGCAUGCCGGCUCCACACUGACGCUGAGGCACGAAAGCGUGGGUAUCGAACAGGAUUAGAUACCCUGGUAGUCCACGCAGUAAACGAUGAAUGCUGGCUGUCCGGGGGGAUUGACCCCUGGGUGGCGAAGCGAAAGCGAUAAGCAUUCCACCUGGGGAGUACGCCGGCAACGGUGAAACUCAAAGGAAUUGACGGGGGCCCGCACAAGCGGAGGAACAUGUGGUUUAAUUCGAUGAUACGCGAGGAACCUUACCCGGGCUCAAACGGGGAGUGACUCAGGCAGAGACGCCUGUUUCCCACGGGACACUCCCCGAGGUGCUGCAUGGUUGUCGUCAGCUCGUGCCGUGAGGUGUCGGCUUAAGUGCCAUAACGAGCGCAACCCCCGCGUGCAGUUGCUAACAGAUAACGCUGAGGACUCUGCACGGACUGCCGGCGCAAGCCGCGAGGAAGGCGGGGAUGACGUCAAAUCAGCACGGCCCUUACGUCCGGGGCGACACACGUGUUACAAUGGGUGGUACAGCGGGAAGCCAGGCGGCGACGCCGAGCGGAACCCGAAAUCCACUCUCAGUUCGGAUCGGAGUCUGCAACCCGACUCCGUGAAGCUGGAUUCGCUAGUAAUCGCGCAUCAGCCAUGGCGCGGUGAAUACGUUCCCGGGUCUUGCACACACCGCCCGUCA
Molecule: ribosomal RNA, 1402 nt
Filed under: uncultured bacterium
Lineage: Bacteria
Description: 16S ribosomal RNA
Rfam family: Bacterial small subunit ribosomal RNA
Source: RNAcentral